Long non-coding RNA from Haemorhous mexicanus (house finch), 10494 nucleotides. RefSeq lists it as uncharacterized. The record is from RefSeq and is a predicted model, not a curated record. The transcript is spliced from 2 exons. Lineage: Eukaryota; Metazoa; Chordata; Aves; Passeriformes; Fringillidae.
CGCCGAGUAUGCCGCCAUUUUGCUGUACAGAAGAUGGGUGGAAGACGCCGCCAUUUAUGAAAAAGACAGAUCCUGCACACAGUCUCUGAGCUGAAAGAGAAAGUCUGUGAGGAAUUCCCGCGGUACCGCGCCAUGGUAUGUGACAGACUGGGUGAAGGGAGAAGCCAUCGGUGCUGCUGAGAUCCCUGAGGGCAUCCAAGGACCAGGGAAGACCGCAGCUGUUGCCGUGCGGUCAGUCGGCGUUUGAGAGGAAGCAGGCAGGGAAGAGAGACUCCGCGCCGUUGCUAAGGGCAUUAGCGAAACACUGAUUGUGAUUUCUGGGUCUGUGUUUGCAACCCCUGGUCCGGAACCCGGACCGUGUUCCCGUUCGCUCGUUCCAAGUGGUUUCUGUCCCGCAACCUCCGUCUGCCCCCGGCUCAUCUCCGCCGGGCUCUGCGAACUUGCUGAAAGCAAAGCCAUGCUUGUUACGUUUAAAAAUUGCCGCGGAGCCUCUGGGGCCGCCCCGCUGGCUCUAAAUGCAAUCCUACCCGCACCGGGCCGCGCCACUUCUUUAUUUUCUGCUGUUUGCGGUGGCUGCGCACUUUGAGUAGCCUGAUCUGUCUGCAGUUCCUGGCCGCGCAGAUUGCGUACCUUGCGAGCUUUUCACGGUUUUAAACUGUUGCGCGCCGGGGAGCGAUCCGCCCGCUCUCGGGCUGGUCUCCAGUAAAUCAGGAGGUCCCCUGUUUGUGGGGAGCGCUUCCGCAGGGUUAAAAUGUCCCCUGUCUCCUGGAUGAGCUGUGGUGAGCGAUUUCUCAGGCUCUGCCGACGCUGCUGGGACGGGAGCGGGAGGGGCUCCCCCUCUCGCCGCUUUUGGCUGCCCGGGCUAGAGUGGAUGGGCUGCUACAUGCAGGCUCGGAGGCUGUGCAGUUUGGAGGGAUGGGACAAGGCUGACGUCAUUUGGGUGUGGGGCCACCCCUGCUGACCGAGGGGGGUGGAGAGACCCUUCUGACAUCGGUUUUGGGGCAUGGACGGGGGCAGGAGCUAUGGGUGGACUAUCAGGUAACAGAGGCGUUGCCACCCAAGCUCCGGAGGCUGGCUCAGCCGAUUGGAACUGCCCCCAAGGUGUGGAGAGGGGUGGGGAAAACGGCAAUUUCCUGAGUCCCCCCACUCCUGUCUCCGAGACACGCGCAGAUGCAAAGAAUCAGAAAAAUGCUUCGGCCGCCUCCCACACCAACAAUUUCAUCUUCGGAAAUCCCCCUGGGUCCCUUUCGGGCUUUGCCUUGGUUGCAUCACCCACACCACGCACCUCUCCCGGACCAGGGGAUGACUCCAUGCCGGCAUUUAUAGGGAUAAGACCUCCCUCUUGUAAUUCAGGGGGGACGGGGAGGCAGUCUCUCCCCCUGUGGGAGCCGCAGGUCCCUGGUCUCCUGCCUGCGAGGAAGCACCCUGCAGCUGCUGAGUUGUUUGCAAAGCAGCCUCUGCAAAGGGUUUUUUGCAUUUUGCCGUAUGUAAAACUUCAUGCACAAGUCUACCAACCGAAAGUAGUCUCACAGCACCCCUGCCCCCACGCGCAGCCGCGUGGCAAAGCUUAGCAUCCACAUCUUCCCACACAUUUGGGUCAAACAAGAUAUUAAGGGAGAUAUUUGGGAUCAUCUCCCUCACCCAGGAUAGCAAAAGUUCUAGUUCCUGUCUUGACACUCGAAUGGGAUGCUAUUUCAUCAAUAUUUCUAGAUUAUUUACGACAUCCGAGUCAGUUUUUGAGAGGUUACCACCCAUCCUGAUUCCUUGUCAGCUUAACGGACCCUAAUGGGCAUGUCAUUCUCGGAUCUGGUCCGUCCUACGACAUUGGAAUCGGCUCCUUCCACCGGGUUCUCCGAAUGUCCAAACGCUGAGAUGUUCAUCUGCAGAGGAGUUUUCCUGGGUCCUGGUUUUCGUAAAGCGUUCCUGGCACAGUUUCUUCUUACUGAGCUGCUACUUCUACAUGGAGGCACUAGUCAUCGGUUUCUCUGGGUCUGGAUUGUAGGCAGUUGAGACAGUACUUCAUGUUUGGACUCAAGUGUUUAUUAUUUCUUAUCAGUAAAACAGUCUCACAACCAUGAGUUCGGCAGCUUUUUAUUAGAAGGCACAAAAUGGCUAACAAUCUCUUGUUAUAAGGUCUUUUAAGACUAAACUAUCCAAUUAAGAACUGACACCCAGAUUAUUUUCCCUUUUAACCCAAUAACUGAUCCCAAAGAGCCCACGAUGUGGACUUUUCUUCCCAAUUACAAAAUGCUACCUAAACCCAUGAAGAAGAAAGAAGAAUGUGAAAAAUGCCAAUCACUUGUUUUUAAAAUGUUAAAGGUUUAAUAGUAAUAAAAUAGUUAUAAAAAUAGUAAUACAUUAGAGUAAUAAUAAUUUAGACAAUUUGAAUUAAGACAAUAUGAGACAAUAAAAACAAAGAGUUACGGAUGUCCGGGUACCUUUUUCUGGGCAGCACAAGCCCGAAAAAGGACACCCGUUAACAAAGGAUUAACCCUUAAAAACAAGAGCCUGUUGCAGAUUCAUACAUCUCAUAUAUGAUGCAUAAAUUCCAUUCAAAUACAGGAUUCUGUCUGGUCAUCCUCAACUUCUUCCUCUGAAUCCUAACAGCGCCUCAAAGGCAGGAAGAAGUUAGUUUCUUCUGAUAAGAGUGCAAUAAAUUCUUUUUCUCUGAAAGAUUUAGGUGUCCUGUGGCUGUUAUCUCGCUGCAAGUCCUUUCUUUAAAAAAAAGUAUCUUACAUAGCAUAGUUUCUAUUUUAACAAUUUUAUUUUUUUUAACCUAAAACUAUAUUUAACACACUACUUAAGAGAAUUAAUACAGAAUUACUUUCUAACACAACACAGAUAAUAUUCAUUUUAAUGUUUGCGAAAAGCGAAUCAUAAAAUACGCAUUUUUCACAAUCCCCACUCUUAUUCUUUGUAAAUCAUUUGGCUUGAGCAAUAUUUCUUGUCUGCUUGCAUCUUCUGGACUAUGCUGGCAAAAUAAAACAGAGAAUUACACAAGGAAGAAAUAUCAAGACAGUUGAAAAAUCUUAAUUUCUGCUAAUACAUUCCCCACCAGCUAGGUUUUAGCAUUGUUUUCUAAUUUUUGGACUGGUACCUGGGUUAUUAUAUGUAUAUUUUUUCUUUGAUUCUUUUUGCUUGUUUCUAGAAUGACUUUUCUGUGAUCAUCAAUUUUCAACAAUCUGAUAUAUUAAACUUUCCACAAACACCCCCUUCUUUAACCAAUAAAUAGUCCAAAGCUAACCUAUUCUGGUACACUACAGUUUUUGCUUGGCUUAGCUGACUUGAUUUUAACCCUAAUGCCUGGGCGAAUUUAUUUGCUAUCAUUUCUAUAACUGCUUGGAGUCUUGUUAUAUGACUCAACAUAUAAUUUGGGGUCAAUACAGAGUUAAAUUGCUGUGUUGGUUUUACCUUUUUGUUUACUAGUUUUUUUUUUUUUCUAAAUCUUGAAAUGUAUCUUUAAGAUUAAAUGUAAAACAAAUCCAUCUCUCUCCUUUUGGACAUUCAGUUCUAAAUCUAUUACCACUUUUUCUUCAGUUUCUGGUAAUCCAAUAAUUUUCUCCAUUUUGCCUACAGGUUCUUCAUUUGGAUGGGUUAUAACAGUGGCUGUUGACAUAGGCGUGUGUAAUAAAAGAGGAACUUUGGUUUCUUUCUAUGUGAUGCUUUCUGUAGCAUUUGUGACACAAUCUUGCUGGUAUCCCGAAAGGGAUAAGACAACAAAUGAUUUCCAGAAACAGGGAUAACAGAGGUCCAGUAUGGCUUAUACUCCCACCUCCCAUGCCUGUGAGGUUGCCACCCACAGCAGGUGUAUUUGAUCUUCUUGGUGGCGAAAUACAGAGGCCAAUCUGGUCUUGCCCUCUAUUUCCUUGUCACUUUCUCUUAACUAAUUUCCAGGCAAAUUGUUUUUGACACCCCUUAACUGUAGUUUCACACCAUUCCUCAGGCAUCUCUUAUUCAACAGGCACUAAUAAUUCCCAUCCAUAACACAAAGUUAUUACUUUAACACUUCUUGCAAUAAGAGCAUAAAUUUUGUGAACUACAAUACUAAUUAUUCCCACAAUUCAAGCAUUCACUUAUAACCCAGCUAGCAUGUCCAGUAUUGGGAUGAAUUAAAUAAAGUUUACAGUAUGAUACUGAUGGAAGUAGUACUUCUCCUUCUUCCCUGUACAAUUCAUGGGCUAAGGUCAGAAUACAAAAACAGUCUUGAUCCCUCUGUCUGAAGUAUUCUUCUCUAAGGAGAUGUUUUAUUCAGGCAGUGCUCGAAACUACUGAUAUAAGCGUUGCCUCAUUUCAUAAUUAGGUGUUGUUCUUUGUACAUUUAUUGGAUCAUUUGGGUUUUCCCAAACUAUUACCACUCAAUCUCUAUUGGGAAGUCAGUUCGGUAUCACCUGGUUUAAAUGUGAUAGUCCAUUCCUCACAAGGUUCUUUCACAAGUCUUUUGAUUCUGCUGGCAUGAAUUCACCCUCUUUCUGUGAUUCCGAUUGUUGCUUCAGUAGUACCUGGAAAGGACUUCUUAAUAGCAUAGUAAUAAAGGAAAGACAAUACUGCAUUAACUUUUACCAUUCACUUUUCUUCCAAACUUUCUGGGUUUAGCUAAAAGCUUUCUCUACAGCAGCCUCUUCUUCUUAUAUCCAGCUGUGCUAAUAGCUGCAGAGGCAAAUUCUUCUUUCUGUGAGCUACAGUUAGUUAAAUAAGAAAGGCUAGACUAAUUUUAACACGAGAUGUAUAACAUCUAUUGCUUUUUACUUUUUGGGCAACAUUUAAUUUUUUUAGCCUUACAAACUCAUUCUUCAGGAAAAAAAAACUUCUUAUUUUUAACAGCAAACAAAACAAAAAAACUUCUACUUAAGAAAAACAAACCACUUUGUGAGGUUUGGAGAGUCAGCAAUGUAGUAUAUAGUCGAGAUAAUUCAUGCUAUAUAUGUGUAUAAAAUAUUGUAAGAUCCAAAUUAUGUCUUUGACCACCCUGGCUGAGAGCAGAGUCUUAUUUCUAUUCAGUUAGUUCCCGGACAUCUUUAAGAUAAUAUCAAGUCCAUUAACGUAUGAAUGAAACCUUCCCGGGCCAUGAUUGCCGACUUCCCAGGAAUGUCUGAGCCACUCAGGAGGACUUGCACCUGGGACGAUUGCAUCUACCAACUCGAGCACCGGGGGGCGCCACUCUGCUACAUGUGAAAGAAGGAUAUUCCGAAUAAGCUCAGACAGCCAUCCAGACAUCUGGACUGGCUUUUGUAUAUUUCUGCAUCUGUAUAGUCACAGUUAUACAUGUGAAGGGACACAAAGGAACCUUCGGUCAUUUCUGCCUCAGGCAGAAUAAACUGUAUAUAAGCUAGCGGCAUGAAACAGUCAGGGUGAACCACUGGGGAGACACUGACACUUUGUCAGUCGGAUCCCGGUUCACCCAGCGCCGACUUCCGGAGUUGACGCUGCCUUGGCUGUGCUGGUUUUCGAAAUUCUAUUUUUGUUAAACGAUCUAAUAAAUCUUUGUUAAAUUUUAUUAUAAAUUUGGCUGCCGAUUUGAUCAUUUAUAGCAGCAAUCUCUGCUUUGAUUUUAUCUUUUAGUGCUAGCCCCCUCCCCCUCUUUUCACAGCCUUGCUGUCAAUGCUGUUCUUCGCCCUUCCCCAGCUGCUGGGCUGGAGCAGGGGAGAACAGCCUCAGGCAUGGGGGCCCUGGGGGCAUGCCUUGGGUCUCUUUUGUUCCCUCUCUCUCUCUUCUCUCUCUCUCUCUCUCUCUCUCUCAGCCCACUUACCAGGGCUGACGCUGCCAUCCUGGACUCAGGACCCCGACAGUCUGGGAGCCACCCCGGCAGGUCUGCCACUGAGCCAGCCCGCUCCUGGCUGGCAACCCUGUGUCAUCUGCUCUCAGCACCGCCGCCGGGUCACCUCUAUGAAUCCGUCCCUGCCGCAGCCCCUGAGACCCUGCUGCUCGUAGGGGAGCGGUCAGACACUUCCCGACCUUGACAACCCCAAAACUUUGCGUCCUCAGGUGCUCCUGACAUACUUUUUCCUUUCUGUAGUCAACUUAUCCUCUUUUCCCUUCAAGGAAAGCCCGUUCUGCUAAACUCUUUCCGGACCCCAGUUCAGCAUUGAAUAACUUCCUAACAACCAUGUGUUAGGGCACUUCCCUACCUUCCAUGCAAAAAACUCGAAUUCAGACUUCUGCUCUCUUCCAGCACCAAGAUGCUAUCAUUCCACAUUCCGUCAUCCCAGAGUUUGCUAACCACCCCCCUACUUUAACUUCUCUCUUUCUUCUCUUCUUACUUUUUUCUUUGAUUCAACUCACCUCCGACAGUACGAGGUGUACCCAACUAAUUUACUUCCAAAAAUAAGCUUACAACUUUCUUUUACUAGGAUUGCAGUAGCUGUUAUAACUUAAAUACAUACUGGCUGGCUGUAGCUUACUGGAUCUAACAUCUUUGAUGUAUAAGCUACUAGAUUUUUUACUCUUCCUCACUCUUGAAUUAAAAUUUUAUGACCUACUCCAUUUUCUGUAUUUAUGUAUAGAUGAUAAAGGAUUUUUCUAACAAGGGUAAGCUUAAAGCUGGUACCUAGGCUAGUUUUAACUUCAAGUCUUAAUUUAACAAUAUCUUCCUUGGUCCGUUUUAUAUCAUCUCCCUCUGUCAAUUUUUCAUACAGAAAUUUUACUGCCGGUGUGUACCCCUCAAUCUAUAAUCUAUAUUAUUCUAAUAAUCUAAGUAAUUUUCUGAUCUCCCUCUUUGAAGAGGGAGGGAGAAAGGAUAAAAUUCCUGCAAUUCUCUCAUAGUUGGGUUUCCAGCUACCUUUAUUAAGUGUCUAAUAUAUUUUACCUCCAGUUCUACAAAUUACAGUUUCUUUUUGAUACCCUUAGUCCUGUUUUCCCCGAGAAAAUAUAAAAGUUGUGUAGUAGCUUCUCUCACUUCAACUUCCUUAGAUAGUAAAAAAUCAUCCACAUAUUGGAUAAUUUGUAUUCCAGGAGGAGUAGGGAAAUCUUGUAAUAUUGUUUUUAAAGCUUGCCCAAAUAAGUUUGGGGAUUCCAUAAACCCCUGUGGUAACUUUGUCUAUCUUAACUGCUGCUUUCUCCCAGUUUUUUUUGGAUCCUCCCAUUAGGAGGCAAUAAUAUCUCCCAUCCCAAUAUUAGUUUCUUCCCUCAAUUACCACAUCUUUAACGACCAGAACUGAAAAACUUUCUCAUUUUGCCGCUGUUACUUUUCACUGUAUAUUUGCUCACACCAUAGCCUUUUGGAAUAUUUAAUGGGUGAAGUAAACAGGGGCAGGAAAUUUUCCUCAUAUAUAAUGCUUUUAUUAAAGUGAUCAGCUCGAAAUGGGGGUUUUGGCAGAUCCGCGGAGUUCUGCCGCCGCUCCCAGGAGCGACUCGGAAGAGGAGUAUUUGUGCAGCUCUGUCUCCUAGAGGCCACAGCCGGGAGUCCUGUCCUAUCCAGGGCAGUGGGGGUAGGCCCAAGGUUGCAGCUAGAAUUGUCAGUCCAGGGGGUCCUGAGUCUGACUGGCAUCGUUUUUAGUUGGGGCGAGGAGUGACCGAGGUUUUCAAGCAUCUCUGCCGGCUUCGGACCUCGGCCCUGCUGUCCAGACACCACCCUGACUUCUCAAUUCUGCUUUGGCUCGUCUCUUUUGGGGUAUUUUCCAGGAUUUGGUGAAGGUUCCGUCCCAGUGCAGUCUGGGUUUGAGAUAAAUUUGCAUGUCUCCUGAGAUGCAAAUUUCUCCCUCUCCCCACCGUCCGAGGGGAGGUUGUCAUCCUCCUGGCAACAGGCUAGGGUGGUUCUGAAAAACAAGAAUUCUCUACAAUAGAGAGUUAAAGGGCGAUACUUAAGGAUACUCAAGAGGUGAUUACAACAUUUCACUAACAGAGAACUCUUGGCCAGCGAUCAAUUCCCAGCUCAACUCAAAACUCCUCUGCAGCCCCUUCUCUUAAAAAAAACGGUAACUUUUUUUGUUCAUAACAAUGGGCAGGUUCUCUCUGCCCCUGUGUCUACUACAAAUUCCAAUCCUUCUUCUUGGGGACUCACUUUUAAAGUUAUCACAGGCUCCAGAUGGUAUUUGUCCCCUAAAAAUAGAGCCUAUGACCUCCCUAUUUCCCCUCUGUGCCCACUUCUUUAAAGAUUUACAGAUCUUUCGCUUGCUUAGGACUAUUUUCCUAUCUCUCCUAAGUUCAUCUAUUUAGUUGGAGUUUCUUCUUUUCUCUCUAAAAAGCUGUCUCUUAAAAACCUUUUUUUUUUUUUUUUUUGCAUUUCGCCUUUGAUAUGCUGUCUCAUUUAUUCCCUUGAUUACAUAAUUACGAUAAUUAUUCAUGUGUUUACUCCCCUCAUUAUUUUGACCCCACUCAGGAGGUACAGUUGGCAUUUUGUCUUUUCUGGGGGUCCCUGCAGAUUAUCUUUUUUCCCCCAAGCUUUUAUUCCAGCUGCUCUGAUUCAUUGCUUUUCUUCUUGAGAAAAAUAUUACUUUCAUUGUAGACCGCACCUCUCCUAAAGUAUAAAUGUUUGGACCUAAAAAUUGGUCUAAUUGUUCAGCUAUGCUUAUGGGAUCCUCCAAAUAUCUCUUUUAUUUAUUUCUUAAAAUUUCUGACCUCAGACGAAGUCAAAGGAGCAUUUACAAACGCCGGUCCGCCCCCUCCUAUGGGAAGCUCUCUUAAUGGAAAUAGACCAAUCCCUUUAUCCCAUUCUUUUUGGAUUUUUAUCUUCUAUAGCCUUUCUCCUGCAUAUUUAGAAAGACUCAGGAGAGGGCUUUCUUUCAACUGAACUUUUAGUGUUUCGAUAAGGUGGUUCCUUUAGAGAUUUCCCCUGAUCAGCCGGAGCUGUGGUUACUAAGGGAACGGAGCUCGGGGCAGGACGGGUGGGACUCGGCAUAGCUCUGAGUCUCAGUCCUCCAAAGGCGGGGUCUGCAGGCGGGAUCGCCCGAGGGGAUGUUCCGGUGCAGACCGAGCUGGAGCGCGGAUAGCCCCACAUGGCCAAUGGUGGCUGAUCCGGCAGAGACAAAGCCGGCGAGAGACCCCGGCUGCAGCGGCGGUAGCCGACCAGAGUCAGGGCAGCCGGGGACGGGGCAGACGGGACCCCCCCCUCGGUGCGGUCGGCGCGGUGACCACGGUCCACCCGGCAGGACAGACCCCCACCGCCGCCGGCACGGCCAGCGGAGCGGCCGCGGGCCGGGCGGCUGGACUGGGGCACACGGACUGUGCCCGAGCCGGCACAGGGGCUGGAGGGUGGUGCAGCCGCGAACGAGUGGGGAAACAAACGGGAAUGGAUGAGGAGGCAAGCUCAGACGGAAUGGAGCUCUUCCAGGGAAAAUCCCAGGGCGCAGCCUGGAGCCCCAUCCGCCCUUGUGAGGACAGAGACAGUCCCUGGCUGGCUCGCCAAAAUGAUUUGCGGAAAGAAAAAAACUCCACAACUUGUAAGAAGUUGUAAAGACGGUAUGUUUAUUACAGCGCUGGAUGCAUAUGGAGAUCGUUCCCAUAAAGGACAUGCUCACCCCUGAGAACUCUCGAUCCUUUUUUUUAUCCCCCCUUACUGGUACAUAUGCAAAGAAUUUCACAAUAGGUUCAUACAUGUUCAUUUUACUGGUUUCAUGUUACACUUGCAGCUAGUUUUUUUUUAUCAGAAAGUACAGAAAGAACUCCUGGGUCAUCCUGUCCUGCCUCCCACAGCCUCAGCUUUGGUUUUCAUCUGUUUCAAAGUUCAAGGGGCCCCUCUCAUCUCUUUCGCAUUUUUUCCUUCAGCUGAGGCAGUUUUUUGAGCACAGUUUUUUUUGUGAGAACAGGCAGUCUUGGGCACAGAGUAAACAAAACAGCAUAUUUCAGCUAUGCUAGCAAGCUACAGACUUAAUAAUUCAAAAUGGCACAUUUCACCUAAAUCUGAAAUGGGUUUCUACCCUGGUAAAUUACCACUCUGUUUCAGAAAUAAGGAUAAAAAGAAGGCUGAAUCCUCUAACAAUGUGAGACACCCCAUGGGAAAUGCCCAUGACCUCUCCCUUUAUUCAAAUAAAGCUACAGGACUCCUCCGUCUCCUUUUUGGACAUAAACUUCUGGUGUUUGUGGAUUAAUUUUCCUGAGAAAACGAAGGCUCUUUUCCAGGAUAUUUCCAUCAUCUGAGGGCGAUGGGCAGCGAGCAGAGCUUAAGGCGUGCCUCACCCAGUUUCGGUGAUCAGCUCCCCUUGCUGGUGUCCAGCACCGGGCGAUUGAUUGGGUUCUUGAGACUGUUCAGGAGACAGAUGAGUGGCGGACCAGGGGGUCCACGAAGCAUCCGCAGGGAAGGACCACUGAAAAUCUCACCAGUGAGUAAAAUGGGAUCUUCAGGGAGUAAACCUGCGAGGGCACCCAUGGAGGGAAGCAAAGGUAAAGCUGGGAAGGGGGCCCAGCAAAAGGGAUGAUGAUCCCAAAACAUCUUCAAAUAAUCCCUUGGAACAAUGCUGAGUUAGUUUACGCAUUGUCCCAGAGGUAAUUAAGGACAUAGAUGCUGAAAGGGGGCAAUAAGGGAAAGGUGAGAAAGAGUUUUGACAACAGGAGAUAGACAAA